GNAGGGGGCAAGCGNNAUCCGGAUUCAUNGGGCGUAAAGCGCGCGUAGGCGGUCUGUNAGGUCAGGAGNNAAAUCUGGGGGCUCAACCCCUAUCCGCUCCUGAUACCGGCAGGCUUUGAGUCUGGUAGGGGAAGANGGAAUUUCCAAGUGUAGCGGUGAAAUGCGCAGCUAUUUGGAAGAACACCGGUGGCGAAGGCGGUCUUCUGGGCCAUGACUGACGCUGAGGCGCGAAAGCUAGGGGAGCGAACAGGAUUAGAUACCCUGGUAGUCCUAGCUGUAAACGAUGGACACUAGGUGUGGGGAGAUUAUACUUUUCCGUGCCGCAGCUAACGCAUUAAGUGUCCCGCCUGGGGAGU
RNAcentral lists this ribosomal RNA (356 nucleotides) under uncultured bacterium. RNAcentral's name for it is "partial 16S ribosomal RNA". It matches the Rfam family "Bacterial small subunit ribosomal RNA", at positions 527 to 881 of the family's 1533-position model. The record is from RNAcentral.